RNAcentral lists this ribosomal RNA (387 nucleotides) under uncultured bacterium. Its description in RNAcentral is "bacterial SSU rRNA". It matches the Rfam family "Bacterial small subunit ribosomal RNA", at positions 335 to 710 of the family's 1533-position model. The record is from RNAcentral.
ACUCCUACGGGGAGGCAGCAGUAGGGAAUCUUCCACAAUGGGCGCAAGCCUGAUGGAGCAACACCGGCGUGAGUGAAGAAGGGUUUCGGCUCGUAAAGCUCUGUUGUUAAAGAAGAACACGUAUGAGAGUAACUGUUCAUACGUUGACGGUAUUUAACCAGAAAGUCACGGCUAACUACGUGCCAGCAGCCGCGGUAAUACGUAGGUGGCAAGCGUUAUCCGGGAUUUAUUGGGCGUAAAGAGAGUGCAGGCGGUUUUCUAAGUCUGAUGUGAAAGCCUUCGGCUUAACCGGAGAAGUGCAUCGGAAACUGGAUAACUUGAGUGCAGAAGAAGGGUAGUGGAACUCCAUGUGUAGCGGUGGAAUGCGUAGAUAUAUGGAAGAACACC